AAAAGACAAAGGUGAAUAAUUCAGCAAGGCGUAAACCCCAGAGGUUCCAGCCCGCCCUCCUAUUUGGUAAAAAAACCUUCCCGUUAGGGGGUACCUGCGGAGGGAUCAUUACACAAAUAUGAAGGCGGGCUGGACUCUCGGGGUUACAGCCUUGCUGAAUUAUUCACCCUUGUCUUUUGCGUACUUCUUGUUUCCUUGGUGGGUUCGCCCACCACUAGGACAAACAUAAACCUUUUGUAAUUGCAAUCAGCGUCAGUAACAAAUUAAUAAUUACAACUUUCAACAACGGAUCUCUUGGUUCUGGCAUCGAUGAAGAACGCAGCGAAAUGCGAUAAGUAGUGUGAAUUGCAGAAUUCAGUGAAUCAUCGAAUCUUUGAACGCACAUUGCGCCCUUUGGUAUUCCAAAGGGCAUGCCUGUUCGAGCGUCAUUUGUACCCUCAAGCUUUGCUUGGUGUUGGGCGUCUUGUCUCUAGCUUUGCUGGAGACUCGCCUUAAAGUAAUUGGCAGCCGGCCUACUGGUUUCGGAGCGCAGCACAAGUCGCACUCUCUAUCAGCAAAGGUCUAGCAUCCAUUAAGCCUUUUUUUCAACUUUUGACCUCGGAUCAGGUAGGGAUACCCGCUGAACUUAAGCAUAUCAAUAGCCGGGAGGAAACAGUGUUGC
RNAcentral lists this ribosomal RNA (661 nucleotides) under fungal sp. HW173. Its description in RNAcentral is "eukaryotic LSU rRNA". The stretch from base 275 to 428 matches the Rfam family "5.8S ribosomal RNA". The record is from RNAcentral. Lineage: Eukaryota; Fungi.